Molecule: ribosomal RNA, 1421 nt
Filed under: Priestia aryabhattai
Lineage: Bacteria; Bacillati; Bacillota; Bacilli; Caryophanales; Bacillaceae
Description: bacterial LSU rRNA
Rfam family: Bacterial large subunit ribosomal RNA
Source: RNAcentral
GUAAUAGCUCACUGGUCGAGUCGGCCUGCGCGGAAGAUGUAACGGGGCUAAACCAUGCACCGAAGCUGCGGCAGCGACGCUUAUGCGUUGUUGGGUAGGGGAGCGUUCUGUAAGCCGUUGAAGGUGUGCUGUGAGGCAUGCUGGAGGUAUCAGAAGUGCGAAUGCUGACAUAAGUAACGAUAAAGCGGGUGAAAAGCCCGCUCGCCGGAAGACCAAGGGUUCCUGUCCAACGUUAAUCGGGGCAGGGUGAGUCGACCCCUAAGGCGAGGCCGAAAGGCGUAGUCGAUGGGAAACAGGUUAAUAUUCCUGUACUUGGUGUUACUGCGAAGGGGGGACGGAGAAGGCUAUGUUAGCCGGGCGACGGUUGUCCCGGUUUAAGCAUGUAGGCGGAGGUUCCAGGUAAAUCCGGUACCUUUUAACGCUGAGGUGUGAUGACGAGGCACUACGGUGCUGAAGUAACAAAUGCCCUGCUUCCAGGAAAAGCCUCUAAGCAUCAGGUAACAUCAAAUCGUACCCCAAACCGACACAGGUGGUCAGGUAGAGAAUACCAAGGCGCUUGAGAGAACUCGGGUGAAGGAACUAGGCAAAAUGGUGCCGUAACUUCGGGAGAAGGCACGCUGGUGUGUAGGUGAAGUCCCUGCGGAUGGAGCUGAAACCAGUCGAAGAUACCAGCUGGCUGCAACUGUUUAUUAAAAACACAGCACUGUGCAAACACGAAAGUGGACGUAUACGGUGUGACGCCUGCCCGGUGCCGGAAGGUUAAUUGAUGGGGUUAGCGGCAACGCGAAGCUCUUGAUCGAAGCCCCGGUAAACGGCGGCCGUAACUAUNNNNNNNNNNNNNNNNNNNNNNNNCUUGUCGGGUAAGUUCCGACCUGCACGAAUGGCGUAAUGAUGGCCAGGCUGUCUCCACCCGAGACUCAGUGAAAUUGAACUCGCUGUGAAGAUGCAGUGUACCCGCGGCAAGACGGAAAGACCCCGUGAACCUUUACUAUAGCUUGACACUGAACACUGGUCCUUGAUGUGUAGGAUAGGUGGGAGGCUUUGAAGCGUGGACGCCAGUCUGCGUGGAGCCAACCUUGAAAUACCACCCUUUAAUGGCUGGUGUUCUAACGUAGACCCGUGAUCCGGGUUGCGGACAGUGUCUGGUGGGUAGUUUGACUGGGGCGGUCUCCUCCUAAAGAGUAACGGAGGAGCACGAAGGUUAGCUAAUCCUGGUCGGACAUCAGGAGGUUAGUGCAAUGGCAUAAGCUAGCUUGACUGCGAGAGUGACGGCUCGAGCAGGUGCGAAAGCAGGUCAUAGUGAUCCGGUGGUUCUGAAUGGAAGGGCCAUCGCUCAACGGAUAAAAGGUACUCCGGGGAUAACAGGCUGAUACCGCCCAAGAGUUCAUAUCGACGGCGGUGUUUGGCACCUCGAUGUCGGC